RNAcentral lists this ribosomal RNA (247 nucleotides) under uncultured bacterium. RNAcentral's name for it is "partial 16S ribosomal RNA". It matches the Rfam family "Bacterial small subunit ribosomal RNA", at positions 15 to 252 of the family's 1533-position model. The record is from RNAcentral.
GAUCAUGGUUCAGGAUGAACGCUAGCUACAGGCUUAACACAUGCAAGUCGAGGGGCAGCGGGAUUGAAGCUUGCUUCAAUUGCCGGCGACCGGCGCACGGGUGAGUAACGCGUAUCCAACCUUCCGUACACUCAAGGGAUAGCCUUUCGAAAGAAAGAUUAAUACCUGAUGGUAUCUUAAGCACACAUGUAAUUAAGAUUAAAGAUUUAUCGGUGUACGAUGGGGGUGCGUUCCAUUAGGUAGUAGG